RNAcentral lists this ribosomal RNA (447 nucleotides) under uncultured bacterium. RNAcentral's name for it is "partial 16S ribosomal RNA". It matches the Rfam family "Bacterial small subunit ribosomal RNA", at positions 338 to 795 of the family's 1533-position model. The record is from RNAcentral.
CCUACGGGUGGCAGCAGUGGGGAAUCUUGCGCAAUGGGCGGAAGCCUGACGCAGCGACGCCGCGUGCGGGAAGAAGGCCUUCGGGUCGUAAACCGCUUUCAGCAGGGCCGAGGCACUCACGGUGACGGUCCCUGCAGACGAAGCUCCGGCUAACUACGGGCCGGCAGCCGCGGUAUUACGUAGGGGGAGAGCGGUAUCCGGAUUCAUUGGGGGUAAAGCGCGCGUAGGCGGCCUGUUAGGUCGGGGGUCAAAGCCCGGGGCACAACCCCGGCCCGCCCCCGAUACCGGCAGGCUUGAGUCUGGUAGGGGAAGGCGGAAUUCCCAGUGUAGCGGUGGAAUGCGCAGAUAUUGGGAAGAACACCGGCGGCGAAGGCGGCCUUCUGGGCCACGACUGACGCUGAGGCGCGAAAGCGAGGGGAGCGAACAGGAUUAGAUACCCGAGUAGUC